This 255-nucleotide ribosomal RNA is filed under the name uncultured bacterium. RNAcentral describes it as "partial 16S ribosomal RNA". It matches the Rfam family "Bacterial small subunit ribosomal RNA", at positions 524 to 776 of the family's 1533-position model. The record is from RNAcentral.
UACGUAGGGGGCAAGCGUUUGUCCGGAUUUAUUGGGCGUAAAGAGCUCGUAGGCGGUUCCGUAAGUCGUGAAGUCAAAUCUCUGGGCUCAACCCAGAAUCGCUUCCGAUACUGCGGUGACUGGAGUCCGGUAGGGGAGUGUGGAAUUCCUGGUGUAGCGGUGAAAUGCGCAGAUAUCAGGAGGAACACCAACAGCGAAGGCAGCACUCUGGGCCGGUACUGACGCUGAGGAGCGAAAGCAUGGGGAGCGAACAGG